UACUCAUCACUUUAAGAGGUGCAACAC
This 27-nucleotide small RNA is filed under the name Bombyx mori (domestic silkworm). Its description in RNAcentral is "ovarian small RNA-21360". Lineage: Eukaryota; Metazoa; Arthropoda; Insecta; Lepidoptera; Bombycidae. The record is from RNAcentral.